Long non-coding RNA from Symphalangus syndactylus (siamang), 343 nucleotides. RefSeq lists it as uncharacterized. The record is from RefSeq and is a predicted model, not a curated record. NCBI's taxonomy places the organism in Eukaryota, Metazoa, Chordata, Mammalia, Primates, Hylobatidae.
AGCUCCCAGGAGCCCUAAAGACAGAUGUCGCGAUCCUCAUCACUCCUGAGGAGGAAGAGUCAGGGAGGCUACGGUCUCAGGCCCAAGUUCAAGAGCCCAGUGGAGUCAUUGUUGAGGGAGGGGUCUGAACCCACCAAUCAGGUCUCAGCAGAGAUGCCUCCUCCUCCAAGAAGCCAUCCUGGACCCACAGGCUUAAGCUCCCAAAAAGCCCUGUGCCUCUCCCCUUGUGGCUCUGUCACACUGUAGGGUGGCUCAGUGAGGAUGACGCGGCCCAGGGCUCUCCCGAGGACAUGCUUCACGUGGUGCUCCAGAAAUGACUGCUAACCCCACUAUUAUUCAUCCC